This 253-nucleotide ribosomal RNA is filed under the name uncultured bacterium. RNAcentral describes it as "partial 16S ribosomal RNA". It matches the Rfam family "Bacterial small subunit ribosomal RNA", at positions 524 to 776 of the family's 1533-position model. The record is from RNAcentral.
UACGGGGGGGGCAAGCGUUGUUCGGAAUUACUGGGCGUAAAGGGCUCGUAGGCGGCCAACUAAGUCAGACGUGAAAUCCCUCGGCUUAACCGGGGAACUGCAUCUGAUACUGGAUGGCUUGAGUUCGGGAGAGGGAUGCGGAAUUCCAGGUGUAGCGGUGAAAUGCAUAGAUAUGUCACAGAACACCAAUUGCGAAGGCAGCUUACUAUGGUUUAAUUGACGCUGAGGCACGAAAGCGUGGGGAUCAAACCGG